CUCAAAAGGGGCACAUUUUUCAAAACCACCAAUUUCUGUCUCGUUGUCGUUGAUUGGUUUAAUAAAUUUUAUUACAGAACGGUAAUGUGUCGGUAGAUAAGAUUUAUAUAUUCCCUAUAAAUACACACUUGACUUUGUCCCGCAUCAAUAGCUGCACAGGCCUUCAAGGUUAAACAAAAGUAGAAAUAAUCUCGGUUGGAUUUUGCAGUAAUGGCAGAUGAAGUAGUUCUUCUGGAAACCCAAUUCAGUCCUUUUGCAGCCAGGGUUAGAAUCGCCUUGGCUGAGAAGGGAAUUCUGUACGAGGCAAGGGAAGAAGAUGUCACUAACAAGAGCUCUCUUCUUUUGCAGAUGAACCCAGUUAAUAAACAAAUCCCUGUCUUGAUCCAUAAUGGCAGGCCCAUUUGCGAGUCAUUGAUCAUCGUCCAAUAUAUUGAUGAGGUUUGGAAUCAUAAAUCUCUCUUUUUGCCUUCUGAUCCUUACCAACGAGCUCAUGCCAGGUUCUGGGCUGAUUAUGUCGACAAGAAAAUUUACCCAAUUGGGAAGAUGCUAUGGUCCUGCAUAGGUGAAGUCAAAGAAGCAUCCAAGAAGGACUUGAUCGAGUGCUUCAAAAUUUUGGAAGGAGAGCUUGGAGAGAAGCCAUAUUUUGGAGGUGAGGGAUUCGGUUUCAUAGAUGUGGCAUUGAUUCCUUUCUAUAGCUUGUUUUACACGUUCGAGACCCUGGGAAACUUUAGCAUGGCUGUGGAGUGCCCUAAGCUUCUGGAAUGGGCUAAGAGAUGCUUGCAGAAAGAAAGUGUGGCCGAGAGUAUAUACGAUGAACACAAAAGUUAUGAAACGGCUUUGUUCAUGAAAAAGAAAUUGGGGUUUUGAGUAAAUUCAAGUGGAAAUUCAACUGCUUUUCAUUUCUUGUCCUUGUUUUCUCUUCUUGUUAUAAUUAGCAGGUAAUUUUACAGUUUUGGUUUUUAGUCAAUGCAUCCUAGUAAAUCAAUCUCUUACUAGAUCUUGCUACCUAAUUUUGUGGAAAGUCUCAGUAGAUCUACAAGGAAUUUGUACAGAUGGCUCAUUUCCAUUAUAGCAUUUGUUGAACUAUUAUUUGACAAUAUUGCUUCUAAUCUGGAUACUACAUUUACAAGGUAACAACAGAAUUCCAUCCAAGUUCUUGAAAAUUCAAAUUCUAAAGAACAAAAUCGCAAAAGCCAGUGUGGGGGAAGCUUAACAGUUAAUACAGUUUUCCUUCUCUCAUGCCACCUUUGAACAGUUGACCCUGACCUGACCAUCUGAACCUGUCAAGACAUGGAGAUUUGAGGGCUUCACCAUUGCUCGUGCGAAGUCUUGGCGGAACUGAGAGACAUCUGAAGUGUAUGCAUUCACCAUUUCGCAUUCUCAGUUUCUUCCCCAGACGUCAGUUGUUGAUCAGAAACUAGGAUUCCUCUACCUCGUAGAAGACUGCGGUAGUAUACCCUGCCAAAAUCUACUCCAGGUCCCUCAUAAGCCAUAUUGAUUCCUGGAUCCUCAAUUGAGGACAGUCGUGAGCUUUACAAGUAAAGUGUUUGGGCAAGCAUUGUGCCCCUCCUUGGCUUCCCAGAAGUUGAAGAUAGUGAUCUCUUACAGGAAGGUUAUAAUGCUUUUGAUGAUAACUUUUUGCAGUCAAACGAACCUGAACUUGUUGUUGAUGAUAAUGAUGAUGCUGACGCUGAAGCAGGACUGUUGUUGCACAUUAACCUCAAUAAGUUAAGGAAUUGACCAAGAGACUGACAGUUUCUCUUUCAUGAAAGCCCUUAGAUGCAAAAGAUGCAAGGGUUUCAGGUAGAUGAGCUUGGGGUGAAGGAAGCUCAGAUGUCGCCUUAUCUGGGAAAGAACGGGUAGCAUCUCUUCUGCCAGUGAACACUGGAUAGAAUGGACCACCAGUCUGAACAACACCUUCUCUGGCUGCUAAAACAACAAUAUCAGCACAAGAAACAACUCCAGGACAUACUUCUUCAAGGUGUGACUUGAUUAUGUCAAUUAUAUCAAAUCCUUUCAGAUUCAGAUUGGGGGUAGAUUCUUUCUCGGAUUUCAAGCCUCCAGCAGUAUCCAAUAGAAUAGAAGCAUCACAGCCCUCAACGAAACAAUCAUGGAAAGCAAGCCUCAAGAGAGCUGGAGCGACACUGGACCUGACUCUGUAAAUAUCCCAAACCAAAUCUCGAACAAUUUUCUCAGCUUGUGGGCAGGAAUCACGGUAAAAAUCAUACUCCAGUGAGCGUCGAGAAUGGAAUUCUUGCUCAUCCUCCACAGACAAUAAUACCGAAGGGCACAAAUUUCGGGAAGAAGGAGACCAGUUUAUGGCGAUGGGGGAAGACGAAGAACAUUUCUUGGUCUCUGCAUUUUGGUUCUUGAGAGAGAUCAAAAUACAGAGAAGGAAAAUGAGAAAGCUAAGUUUCAUCAUAACUUCAAAGAUUAAACUCAGCAUAUCUCUUGCUUCAAUUAUCUUUAAAUCUAUUGAUUUGUCUAUUCGCUUUUGGGGGUUGUGUUACCGGAGCGGCAACAGCAGCAGCAGCGGCGGAUUUCAACGAAAUUAUGGGAAGUGGCGGGAAAAGGGACGCGAGAUGACUAAAAUGCCACUGUAACUUAUAGAUUGUUGGGGAUAACUUGUAAUAGGACAAUAAUGCCCUUAUUAGCUAAUUUCGG
RNAcentral lists this unclassified non-coding RNA (2664 nucleotides) under Hevea brasiliensis (rubber tree). The record is from RNAcentral. Lineage: Eukaryota; Viridiplantae; Streptophyta; Magnoliopsida; Malpighiales; Euphorbiaceae.